GGUGGUCCAAAACCUGGUGGUCCCGGAACCGGUGAAAACGGAGCCGGCACUAAACCUAGUGGUCCCGGAACCGGUGAAAACGGAGCCGGCACUAAACCUAAUGACCUUGGAACCGGGGCAGAUGGAGAAGGUACUAAACCUGGUGGCUCUGGAACCGGCGAAGACGGAGCCGGUACAAAACCUGGUGGCCUUGAGACAGGAGAAGACGGAGCCGGUACUAAACCUGGUGGCCACGGAACCGGCGAAGACGGAGCUGGUACUAAACCUGUUGGCUCUGGAACUGGUAACGAUGGAGGCGGUCCUAGACCUGUUAUCCCUGGAAAGAUGGGACCCCUUGGUGGUGACAAGGGAAAUGAAUUCGACGAUGUUGGUUUUGAUGGUGUGAAGAAAAUAACUGUGGGAGCAGAUGAAUUCAGUGUAACUUAUAUCAAGAUCGAAUACAUAAAGGACGGAAAAGUUGAAAUACGUGAACACGGGACUAAUCGCGGGCAACUAAAAGAGGUAUAAAACAUUGUGAUUAUUUUUUUUACGAUAAUAUUCAUUGGGUUUGCUAAUAAAUUGUUUGAUUUUUAUGGAAAAUAAAAUACAGUUUUCGGUGGAUUAUCCAAAUGAUAACAUCGUGGCCGUUGGUGGAAGCUACGAUCAUAUUUUCACAUAUGAUACAACGCUUAUCACAUCGCUAUACUUCACAACCUCCAGGGGUUUUACCUCUCCAUUAUUCGGUGAGAAGACAGGAACAGAUUUCGAGUUCCAAGGUGAAAAUAAAGGAAAGCUUCUCGGGUUCCAUGGACGUGCUGGGCAUGCUAUUGAUGCCAUCGGAGCUUACUUCCACACUGGUUCACAAGGUGGCCAGGGAGCUGGUUCACAAGGUGGCCAGGGAGCUGGUUCACAAGGUGGCCAGGGAGGUGACCCCGGAAAAGGUGGUCCUAGACCUGUUGUCCCCGGAAAGAUGGGACCCUUAGGUGGUGCCAAGGGAAAUGAAUUCGAUGAUGUUGGUUUUGAUGGUGUGAAGAAAGUAACUGUGGGAGCAGAUGAAUUCAGUGUAACUUAUAUCAAGAUCGAAUACAUAAAGGACGGAAAAGUUGAACGUGUGUCUGGUUACUACCGAACGACUUUCUCCGGAGACGUUAUAACGGCGUUAUUGUUUAGGACGAACAAGAAGACCUAUGGGCCUUAUGGAAACCUAACACGAAACUUCUUUUCUGCUGACGCACCGAGAAACAACCAAAUCGCUGGAUUUCUAGGAAAUAGUGGAAGUGCACUCAACUCCAUCAACGUUCAUUUUGCUCCCAUUCCUCCCCCUGGUAGCAUUAAACCAAAACCUGCUGGCCCCGGAACAGGCGACGCUGGAAGCGGUCAACCUGUUAGCCCAGGACCCGGCGAUGCGGGAGGUGGUCCAAAACCUGGUGGUCCUGGAACCGGUGAAAACGGAGCCGGCACUAAACCUAGUGGUCCCGGAACCGGUGAAAACGGAGCCGGCACUAAACCUGGUGACCUUGGAACCGGGGCAGAUGGAGAAGGUACUAAACCUGGUGGCUCUGGAACCGGCGAAGACGGAGCCGGUACUAAACCUGGUGGUCCUGGAACCGGUGAAAACGGAGCCGGCACUAAACCUAGUGGUCCCGGAACCGGUGAAAACGGAGCCGGCACUAAACCUGGUGACCUUGGAACCGGGGCAGAUGGAGAAGGUACUAAACCUGGUGGCUCUGGAACCGACGAAGACGGAGCCGGUACUAAACCUGGUGGCCUUGAGACAGGAGAAGACGGAGCUGGUACUAAACCUGUUGGCUCUGGAACUGGUAACGAUGGAGGCGGUCCUAGACCUGUUAUCCCUGGAAAGAUGGGACCCCUUGGUGGUGACAAGGGAAAUGAAUUCGACGAUGUUGGUUUUGAUGGUGUGAAGAAAAUAACUGUGGGAGCAGAUGAAUUCAGUGUAACUUAUAUCAAGAUCGAAUACAUAAAGGACGGAAAAGUUGAAAUACGUGAACACGGGACUAAUCGCGGGCAACUAAAAGA
Molecule: long non-coding RNA, 2016 nt
Filed under: Brassica napus (rape)
Lineage: Eukaryota; Viridiplantae; Streptophyta; Magnoliopsida; Brassicales; Brassicaceae
Description: long non-coding RNA (BNAP_LNC024386)
Source: RNAcentral